CCUACGGGAGGCAGCAGUGAGGAAUAUUGGUCAAUGGACGAGAGUCUGAACCAGCCAAGUAGCGUGAAGGAUGACUGCCCUAUGGGUUGUAAACUUCUUUUAUCUGGGAAUAAAAUGUUCCACGUGUGGGAUUUUGUAUGUACCCUAUGAAUAAGGAUCGGCUAACUCCGUGCCAGCAGCCGCGGUAAUACGGAGGAUCCGAGCGUUAUCCGGAUUUAUUGGGUGUAAAGGGAGCGUAGGUGGAUUGUUAAGUCAGUUGUGAAAGUUUGCGGCUCAACCGUAAAAUUGCAGUUGAAACUGGGUGUCUUGAGUGCAGUAGAGGUAGGCGGAAUUCGUGGUGUAGCGGUGAAAUGCUUAGAUAUCACGAAGAACUCCGAUUGCGAAGGCAGCUUGCUGGACUGCAACUGACGCUGAGGCUCGAAAGUGUGGGUAUCAAACAGGAUUAGAUACCCUUGUAGUC
RNAcentral lists this ribosomal RNA (460 nucleotides) under uncultured bacterium. RNAcentral describes it as "partial 16S ribosomal RNA". It matches the Rfam family "Bacterial small subunit ribosomal RNA", at positions 338 to 795 of the family's 1533-position model. The record is from RNAcentral.